RNAcentral lists this microRNA (22 nucleotides) under Capitella teleta. Its description in RNAcentral is "cte-miR-2706". The record is from miRBase by way of RNAcentral. Lineage: Eukaryota; Metazoa; Annelida; Polychaeta; Capitellidae.
GAAGAUAUGACCUUCCUGCACU